UCAAAAGUGAAACAUUGAUUU
RNAcentral lists this non-coding RNA (21 nucleotides) under Caenorhabditis elegans. The record is from RNAcentral. Lineage: Eukaryota; Metazoa; Nematoda; Chromadorea; Rhabditida; Rhabditidae.